AUACAGAUUACUUGGAGAUCUGGUUCAAAUGUAAAUUCAGUUUAUUAUAUCUGUGUUGUGGCCUGAGGUUCUGAAUUUCUAACAAGCUCUCAAAUGAUGCCAAU
This 104-nucleotide microRNA precursor is filed under the name Marmota monax (woodchuck). The record is from RNAcentral. Lineage: Eukaryota; Metazoa; Chordata; Mammalia; Rodentia; Sciuridae.